GGGGUUAGCUCAGUGGUAGAGCCCUUGUCUCACAUGUACAAGGGCCUGGGUUGGAUCCCCAGCUUCA
RNAcentral lists this transfer RNA (67 nucleotides) under Marmota monax (woodchuck). RNAcentral describes it as "tRNA.Val". The record is from RNAcentral. Lineage: Eukaryota; Metazoa; Chordata; Mammalia; Rodentia; Sciuridae.